AUUGAACGCUGGCGGCAGGCCUAACACAUGCAAGUCGCACGAGUGGCGUACGGGUGAGUAAUGUCUGGGAAACUGCCCGAUGGAGGGGGAUAACUACUGGAAACGGUAGCUAAUACCGCAUACCAUCAGAUGUGCCCAGAUGGGAUUAGCUAGUUGGUGGGGUAACGGCUCACCAAGUCGACGAUCCCUAGCUGGUCUGAGAGGAUGACCAGCCACACUGGAACUGAGACACGGUCCAGACUCAGACGGGAGGCAGCAGUGGGGAAUAUUGAACAAGGGGCGCAAGCCUGAUGCAGCCAUGCCGCGGGUAUGAAGAAGGCCUUCGGGUUGUAAAGUACUUUCAGCGAGGAGGCGUUACCCGCAGAAGAAGCACCGGCUAACUCCGUGCCAGCAGCCGCGGUAAUAC
RNAcentral lists this ribosomal RNA (406 nucleotides) under uncultured bacterium. RNAcentral describes it as "partial 16S ribosomal RNA". It matches the Rfam family "Bacterial small subunit ribosomal RNA", at positions 30 to 526 of the family's 1533-position model. The record is from RNAcentral.